GACGAACGCUGGCGGCGUGCUUAACACAUGCAAGUCGAACGGAAAGGCCCUGCUUUUGUGGGGUGCUCGAGUGGCGAACGGGUGAGUAACACGUGAGUAACCUGCCCUUGACUUUGGGAUAACUUCAGGAAACUGGGGCUAAUAUCGGAUAGGAGCUCCUGCUGCAUGGUGGGGGUUGGAAAGUUUCGGCGGUUGGGGAUGGACUCGCGGCUUAUCAGCUUGUUGGUGGGGUAGUGGCUUACCAAGGCUUUGACGGGUAGCCAGCCUGGGAGGGUGACCGGCCACAUUGGGACUGAGAUACGGCCCAGACGCCUACGGGAGGCAGAGGUGGGGAAUAUUGCACAAUGGGCGGAAGCAGGAUGCAGCAACGCCGGGUGCGGGAUGACGGCCGUCGGGUUGUAAACCGCGUUCGCCUGUGACGAAGCGUGAGUGACGGUAAUUGGUAAAGAAGCACCGGCUAACUACGUG
RNAcentral lists this ribosomal RNA (468 nucleotides) under uncultured bacterium. RNAcentral's name for it is "partial 16S ribosomal RNA". It matches the Rfam family "Bacterial small subunit ribosomal RNA", at positions 28 to 507 of the family's 1533-position model. The record is from RNAcentral.